This 242-nucleotide long non-coding RNA is filed under the name Mytilus galloprovincialis (Mediterranean mussel). The record is from RNAcentral. Lineage: Eukaryota; Metazoa; Mollusca; Bivalvia; Mytilida; Mytilidae.
GAUUUGUGAGAGCUUCCGUCAAUUUAAGAAUUUUGAACAUACAAAUGAUUAUAAAUGAGACCCUAAAAUGAACAUUAUGUUUGAGUUGAUAAAAAUGAACAUUAUGUUUGGGUUGAUAAAAAUGAACAUUGUGUUUGGGUUGAUCGUAAGAUACCAGCUAUCCAACAAUAACAAUAUCACCAGCUGAUCCCAUAAAGAGCUAAGAAGCUAUUUUAUACGUACCAAACUGCAAAUUUCCAGAG